RNAcentral lists this ribosomal RNA (319 nucleotides) under uncultured marine eukaryote. Its description in RNAcentral is "bacterial SSU rRNA". It matches the Rfam family "Eukaryotic small subunit ribosomal RNA", at positions 611 to 852 of the family's 1831-position model. The record is from RNAcentral.
UGCUGCUGUUAAAAAGCUCGUAGUUGGAUCAAGAGUUGGACUGUGCACGGUGGCCCCAUUUGCUCAGCUGGCUCCGGUCAGGUGGGCGGUGGCGGAUCAACCCCGUGCGCAAAACAGUCCACUCUAACAGACCGAAGCGGUUCCCUGUGAGUAGGCUCCUUCAUUGGGGCUGAAAGCGCUUACGCAUCAACCAUAUGCAUACGGGACGUCGGUCAAUGUUACUGUGAACAAACCAGCGUGUCCAAAACAGGCUUUCGCCUGAAUGUUCGAGCAUGGAAUAACAAGGGAUCGAUUCUCUCGGUUCUUUUUGUUGGUUUUU